GCUGGGCAUGGUGGUGCAUGCCUGUAAUCCCAGCUACUUGGGAGGCUGAGGCAGGAGAAUUGCUUGAACCUGGGAGGCUGGAGGUUGCGCCAUUGCCCUCCAGCCUGGGCAACAGAGCGAGACUCUGUCUCAA
This is an unclassified non-coding RNA of Callithrix jacchus (white-tufted-ear marmoset), 133 nucleotides long. It matches the Rfam family "Metazoan signal recognition particle RNA". From Rfam's summary of the family: The signal recognition particle (SRP) is a universally conserved ribonucleoprotein. It is involved in the co-translational targeting of proteins to membranes. Lineage: Eukaryota; Metazoa; Chordata; Mammalia; Primates; Cebidae. The record is from Ensembl.